UUGAACUGAAGAGUUUGAUCCUGGCUCAGAUUGAACGCUGGCGGCAUGCCUUACACAUGCAAGUCGAACGGCAGCACGGGGGCAACCCUGGUGGCGAGUGGCGAACGGGUGAGUAAUACAUCGGAACGUGUCCUGUAGUGGGGGAUAGCCCGGCGAAAGCCGGAUUAAUACCGCAUACGCUCUACGGAGGAAAGGGGGGGAUCUUAGGACCUCUCGCUACAGGGGCG
This 227-nucleotide ribosomal RNA is filed under the name Paraburkholderia polaris. RNAcentral's name for it is "Paraburkholderia sp. RP-4-7 partial 16S ribosomal RNA". It matches the Rfam family "Bacterial small subunit ribosomal RNA", at positions 1 to 228 of the family's 1533-position model. The record is from RNAcentral. Lineage: Bacteria; Pseudomonadati; Pseudomonadota; Betaproteobacteria; Burkholderiales; Burkholderiaceae.